UUUUUUGCCAUCCCUACUCUUGAACUACCUCAAUGCAGACGCUACAGGGACUCUCUUCAUGAGAGAAUAGUUUUUCUUUUUCUUUCACAUUUAGCUUUGUAACCAAAAAAAAUUAGAAGUUAUCUAAAAGAAUUUAAUUUAUAUACACUGUCGGUAUAAAAUUAUUUUAUAAAUGCAUCCAAUAGUAUACUGACACAUGUGAUGUGUUUUAAAACACAUGACAUGUCAAAUUUUAUUAAAUGAUGUUGGAAAUUAUUUUAUUCCAAGGAACAUUCAUACCUAUGAAUAAUUUUAUGUCAACCUAGUAACAAACAUGAGUAUUUCUACCCUAAUUCAUAUACUGCAUAGACACUUAUUGCACUGUCAGUCCAAACAUUAUUCAACAAAAGUUUUAAUCAAAAUAUAAUUGUUCAACAUUAUUAUAGACCACAGCUUGUGCCAGUAGAGCUUGAAUGAGAAUGAAUCACUUAUUUCAGCAAUUUAUGCACUUCAGUCAUGUGUCAUUUGUUCAGCUUCAUGCCUGAUGGAUUCAAAAAGUGGCGAAGAC
This 547-nucleotide long non-coding RNA is filed under the name Trifolium pratense (red clover). Its description in RNAcentral is "long non-coding RNA (TPRA_LNC008589)". The record is from RNAcentral. Lineage: Eukaryota; Viridiplantae; Streptophyta; Magnoliopsida; Fabales; Fabaceae.